CCUACGGGAGGCAGCAGUGGGGAAUAUUGCACAAUGGGGGAAACCCUGAUGCAGCGACGCCGCGUGAGUGAAGAAGUAUUUCGGUACGUAAAGCUCUAUCAGCAGGGAAGAAAAUGACGGUACCUGACUAAGAAGCCCCGGCUAACUACGUGCCAGCAGCCGCGGUAAUACGUAGGGGGCAAGCGUUAUCCGGAUUUACUGGGUGUAAAGGGAGCGUAGACGGCAGCGCAAGUCUGGAGUGAAAUCCCAUGGCUUAACCAUGGAACUGCUUUGGAAACUGUGCAGCUGGAGUGCAGGAGAGGUAAGCGGAAUUCCUAGUGUAGCGGUGAAAUGCGUAGAUAUUAGGAGGAACACCAGUGGCGAAGGCGGCAUACCGGCGCUCAACUGACGCUCAUGCACGAAAGUGUGGGUAUCGAACAGGAUUAGAUACCCGGGUAGUC
Molecule: ribosomal RNA, 440 nt
Filed under: uncultured bacterium
Lineage: Bacteria
Description: partial 16S ribosomal RNA
Rfam family: Bacterial small subunit ribosomal RNA
Source: RNAcentral